GGAUGCGAUUGUACCAACAUUAACACACUAAAUUCUAUCAGAACUUUAAAACUAGGUGUGUUUGGACGAUAGUACUACUAGGAUCGAUAACCUCUGGGAAGUCCUCGUAUUGUAUCUA
This 118-nucleotide ribosomal RNA is filed under the name Solanum tuberosum (potato). The record is from RNAcentral. Lineage: Eukaryota; Viridiplantae; Streptophyta; Magnoliopsida; Solanales; Solanaceae.